Molecule: long non-coding RNA, 331 nt
Organism: Nanorana parkeri
Lineage: Eukaryota; Metazoa; Chordata; Amphibia; Anura; Dicroglossidae
Exons: 3
Source: RefSeq, a predicted model, not a curated record
UAAGCAAGAUGGCGGCUGAGAAUUCUGGCCGGCACCGGGUGCGGCGGUUAGCCGGUGUAUAAAGCUGAGAAGGGGAUGAGGAGGAGGAGAAGUCGCAGCAGCCGGCAGUAAAUUAGAAGACUGCUCGCAAUGGAACAUACAAAUGAAAGCUUUGUUCCAACUAUUACUCAGCUUGAAGGAUAUCUCUCUGAACACAACUCCAAUGUUGUUUGGCUACUCGUAGCUACCAUCUUGUCCUGCGGAUGGAUUAUUUAUCUAACUUAUUACAAUUCCCGGAACAUAGGACUUAUUUUAACACUGGUACUAAACCGACUAUACAAACAUGGAUACA